AUGCUUACCUCACCUCCCUUGACCAGCAUGGAUUCUCUCCCCAGACUCCGUGGCCAGAGCAGCACGUCCCUGUCCUCUUCUCAGUCUUCUGUGGCCUCCUGGUAGCGCUGUCCUACCACCUGAGCCGGCAGAGCAGCGACCCCACCGUGCUCUGGUCUCUGAUCCGGAGCAAACUCUUCCCUGAGCUGGAGGAGCGCAGCUUGGAGACAGCCCGGGCUGAGCCCCCGGACCCCUUGCCGGACAAGAUGCGCCAGUCGGUGCGUGAGGUCUUGCACUCCGACCUGGUGAUGUGUGUGGUGAUCGCCGUGCUCACCUUCGCCAUCAGCGCCAGCACCGUCUUUAUUGCCCUGAAGUCGGUGCUGGGUUUCGUGUUGUACGCACUGGCUGGGGCCGUGGGCUUCUUCACACAUUACCUGCUGCCACAACUCCGCAAACAGCUGCCCUGGUUCUGCCUGUCACAGCCCGUGCUGAAGCCGCUGGAGUACAGCCAGUAUGAAGUGCGCGGUGAGUGCUCGCCCCUGAUGGCCAGGCCUGGGCAGUGUUUCGGGCUGCAGCUUGGCUGGUGGGAGCUGUGGUCCUCUCGGCUCAGGAGUGCCAGCAGGGGGCACUCACUGCCCACACUACCCUUUCUGCACCCUCCCUGCCCUGUGUCCUUGUUGCGCGGCUGCGCUCUCCACCUACUCUUCUCCUCGUGCCUUGCUGUGCCCUUCCCUUGCCUGCGUUGCCCUGGUCCUGCCCUCCUUGCUGUCUGUGAUAAGACGGAAGAAUUAGAACCCCAGGGCCCUGAAGGGAUCUCUUGUCCAGAAUUAAACACUGAUCACCAGUGGACCGGAGCUGCCAGGAGCACAUUUUCACUGGGCUGCGUAACGGUUUUUAAAAAAUCCUAGAUCCUGUAUUUUAGCAUUUCGAUUUGAGAUACGAAGAUCCAUGUUUCUUGAGUUUUUCUCAAACAACAGAAGAUUUUGCCUCCUGGACUAGCAUCCCUCUGUGGCUACAACCAGCCUGAACUGAGGGGUCUGCCCUUUAGAAGGGCCCAGCUCAUGGGCUCACUGUGCACUCAGGCCCUAGCCAGCCUGCUGUACGUGGGUGUUUGUGAUUUCAUCGUUGGCCUUGUUUUCGCAGACAGAGCAGAGCACCUGCCAUAAAGCAAGCCUCGAUGUGCUAAGUGGCAUGUGGAGCCCUUGCCCUGCUGGGGCUCAUUGCUCCCAUUUGAGCUGCCACAGA
This 1224-nucleotide small RNA is filed under the name Pongo abelii (Sumatran orangutan). Its description in RNAcentral is "retained intron". The record is from RNAcentral. Lineage: Eukaryota; Metazoa; Chordata; Mammalia; Primates; Hominidae.